CCUACGGGGGGCAGCAGUGGGGGAUAUUGCACAAUGGGGGAAACCCUGAUGCAGCGACGCCGCGUGGGUGAAGAAGUAUUUCGGUAUGUAAAGCCCUAUCAGCAGGGAAGAAAGAAGACGGUACCUGACUAAGAAGCCCCGGCUAACUACGGGCCAGCAGCCGCGGUAAUACGUAGGGGGCGAGCGUUAUCCGGAUUCACUGGGUGUAAAGGGAGCGUAGACGGCCGUGCAAGCCAGGAGUGAAAGCCCGGGGCCCAACCCCGGGACUGCUCUUGGAACUGUGCGGCUGGAGUGCGGGAGGGGCAGGCGGAAUUCCUGGUGUAGCGGUGAAAUGCGUAGAUAUCAGGAGGAACACCGGCGGCGAAGGCGGCCUGCUGGACCGCGACUGACGUUGAGGCUCGAAAGCGUGGGGAGCGAACAGGAUUAGAUACCCCGGUAGUC
Molecule: ribosomal RNA, 441 nt
Filed under: uncultured bacterium
Lineage: Bacteria
Description: partial 16S ribosomal RNA
Rfam family: Bacterial small subunit ribosomal RNA
Source: RNAcentral